GUGCCAGCCGCCGCGGUAAUACGGAGGAUCCAAGCGUUAUCCGGAUUUAUUGGGUUUAAAGGGUGCGUAGGCGGCUUAUUAAGUCAGGGGUGAAAGACGGUAGCUUAACUAUCGCAGUGCCUUUGAUACUGAUGAGCUUGAAUCUACUUGAGGUAGGCGGAAUGUGACAAGUAGCGGUGAAAUGCAUAGAUAUGUCACAGAACACCAAUUGCGAAGGCAGCUUACUAAAGUAGCAUUGACGCUGAGGCACGAAAGCGUGGGGAUCAAACAGGAUUAGAUACCCUGGUAGUCC
RNAcentral lists this ribosomal RNA (292 nucleotides) under uncultured bacterium. Its description in RNAcentral is "partial 16S ribosomal RNA". It matches the Rfam family "Bacterial small subunit ribosomal RNA", at positions 505 to 796 of the family's 1533-position model. The record is from RNAcentral.